GUGGGGAAUAUUGGGCAAUGGGCGCAAGCCUGACCCAGCAACGCCGCGUGAAGGAAGAAGGCUUUCGGGUUGUAAACUUCUUUUGUCAGGGACGAAGCAAGUGACGGUACCUGACGAAUAAGCCACGGCUAACUACGUGUCAGCAGCCGCGGUAAUACGUAGGUGGCAAGCGUUAUCCGGAUUUACUGGGUGUAAAGGGCGUGUAGGCGGGAAAGCAAGUCAGAUGUGAAAACUGUGGGCUCAACCCAUAGCUUGCAUUUGAAACUGUUUUUCUUGAGUACUGGAGAGGCAGAUGGAAUUCCUAGUGUAGCGGUGAAAUGCGUAGAUAUUAGGAGGAACACCAGUGGCGAAGGCGAUCUGCUGGACAGCAACUGACGCUGAGGCGCGAAAGCGUGGGGAGCAAACAGGAUUAGAAACCCGUGUAGUCC
Molecule: ribosomal RNA, 428 nt
Filed under: uncultured bacterium
Lineage: Bacteria
Description: partial 16S ribosomal RNA
Rfam family: Bacterial small subunit ribosomal RNA
Source: RNAcentral